This 474-nucleotide ribosomal RNA is filed under the name uncultured organism. RNAcentral's name for it is "partial 16S ribosomal RNA". It matches the Rfam family "Bacterial small subunit ribosomal RNA", at positions 331 to 797 of the family's 1533-position model. The record is from RNAcentral.
GUACACUCCUGCGGGAGGCAGCAGUGGGGAAUUUUGGACAAUGGGCGAAAGCCUGAUCCAGCAAUGCCGCGUGAGUGAAGAAGGCCUUCGGGUUGUAAAGCUCUUUUGUCAGGGAAGAAACGGUGAGAGCUAAUAUCUUUUGCUAAUGACGGUACCUGAAGAAUAAGCACCGGCUAACUACGUGCCAGCAGCCGCGGUAAUACGUAGGGUGCAAGCGUUAAUCGGAAUUACUGGGCGUAAAGCGUGCGCAGGCGGUUUUGUAAGUCUGAUGUGAAAUCCCCGGGCUCAACCUGGGAAUUGCAUUGGAGACUGCAAGGCUAGAAUCUGGCAGAGGGGGGUAGAAUUCCACGUGUAGCAGUGAAAUGCGUAGAUAUGUGGAGGAACACCGAUUGCGAAGGCAGCCCCCUGGGUCAAGAUUGACGCUCAUGCACGAAAGCGUGGGGAGCAAACAGGAUUAGAUACCCGAGUAGUCCC